CCUACGGGUGGCAGCAGUGAGGAAUAUUGGUCAAUGGCCGGAAGGCUGAACCAGCCAUGCCGCGUGAAGGUCAGUGCCCUAUGGGCGUUAAACUUCUUUUGUGCGGGAGCAAUAAUGGUCACGUGUGGCCAGACGAGAGUACCGUACGAAUAAGCAUCGGCUAACCUCGUGCCAGCAGCCGCGGUAAUACGGGGGAUGCAAGCGUUUUCCGGAUUUAAUGGGUUUAAAGGGUGCGUAGGCUGUGAGGUUAGUCAGCGGGGAAAUGCCCCCGCUCCACGGGGUGAAGUGCAAUUGAUACUGGCUUGCUGGAAUGCGGAUGCCGUGGGAGGAAUGUGUGGUGUAGCGGUGAAAUGCAUAGAUAUCACACAGAACACCGAUUGCGAAGGCAGCUCACGAAUCCGCGAUUGACGCUGAUGCACGAAAGCGUGGGUAUCAAACAGGAUUAGAUACCCGAGUAGUC
RNAcentral lists this ribosomal RNA (460 nucleotides) under uncultured bacterium. Its description in RNAcentral is "partial 16S ribosomal RNA". It matches the Rfam family "Bacterial small subunit ribosomal RNA", at positions 338 to 795 of the family's 1533-position model. The record is from RNAcentral.